This 495-nucleotide ribosomal RNA is filed under the name uncultured bacterium. Its description in RNAcentral is "partial 16S ribosomal RNA". It matches the Rfam family "Bacterial small subunit ribosomal RNA", at positions 28 to 507 of the family's 1533-position model. The record is from RNAcentral.
GACGAACGCUGGCGGCGUGCCUAAUACAUGCAAGUAGAACGCUGAAGGAGGAGCUUGCUUCUCUGGAUGAGCUGCGAACGGGUGAGUAACGCGUAGGUAACCUGCCUGGUAGCGGGGGAUAACUAUUGGAAACGAUAGCUAAUACCGCAUAAUAGCAGUUGUUGCAUGACAACUGUUUGAAAGGUGCAAUUGCACCACUACCAGAUGGACCUGCGUUGUAUUAGCUAGUUGGUGGGGUAACGGCUCACCAAGGCGACGAUACAUAGCCGACCUGAGAGGGUGAUCGGCCACACUGGGACUGAGACACGGCCCAGACUCCUACGGGAGGCAGCAGUAGGGAAUCUUCGGCAAUGGACGGAAGUCUGACCGAGCAACGCCGCGUGAGUGAAGAAGGUUUUCGGAUCGUAAAGCUCUGUUGUAAGAGAAGAACGAGUGUGAGAGUGGAAAGUUCACACUGUGACGGUAUCUUACCAGAAAGGGACGGCUAACUACGUG